AUGUACACAUACGUACAGCGGCCAGGGUGCAAGAAAGAAAAUACGGACACAUACGUACAUACGGGCGGGGUCUCGAACGCCUACUCGCGCAUAUGUACAUGGCUGGGUCGGAACGAAGAAACAGAGUUGUCGUUGUGUUCAUGGGGAGGCAACGGAAUGCAUCGUGUUCAUGGGGAGGCAACGGAAUGCGUCGUGUUCAUCGGGAGGCAACGGAACGCGUGGGAGCCAACCGUCUUGGACGGAACAUGCGAUGGAAACGAGGCCUGGCGUAUCGCACAACUGAGGAAACGACCUUGUGUUCGACCGGCCACGUUCGGAACGGGGUCUUGUUGA
This 333-nucleotide ribosomal RNA is filed under the name Triticum aestivum (bread wheat). Its description in RNAcentral is "partial small subunit ribosomal RNA". The record is from RNAcentral. Lineage: Eukaryota; Viridiplantae; Streptophyta; Magnoliopsida; Poales; Poaceae.